AUUGAACGCUGGCGGCAUGCCUUACACAUGCAAGUCGAACGGCAGCACGGGUGCUUGCACCUGGUGGCGAGUGGCGAACGGGUGAGUAAUACAUCGGAACAUGUCCUGUAGUGGGGGAUAGCCCGGCGAAAGCCGGAUUAAUACCGCAUACGAUCUACGGAUGAAAGCGGGGGACCUUCGGGCCUGGCGCUAUAGGGUUGGCCGAUGGCUGAUUAGCUAGUUGGUGGGGUAAAGGCCUACCAAGGCGACGACCAGUAGCUGGGCUGAGAGGACGACCAGCCACACUAGGACUGAGACACGGCCCAGACUCCUACGGGAGGCAGCAGUGGGGAAUUUUGGACAAUGGGCGAAAGCCUGAUCCAGCAAUGCCGCGUGUGUGAAGAAGGCCUUCGGGUUGUAAAGCACUUUUGUCCGGAAAGAAAUCCUUGGCCCUAAUACGGUCGGGGGAUGACGGUACCGGAAGAAUAAGCACCGGCUAACUACGUG
This 486-nucleotide ribosomal RNA is filed under the name uncultured bacterium. Its description in RNAcentral is "partial 16S ribosomal RNA". It matches the Rfam family "Bacterial small subunit ribosomal RNA", at positions 30 to 507 of the family's 1533-position model. The record is from RNAcentral.